This 748-nucleotide ribosomal RNA is filed under the name Bacillus sp. mf17-1. Its description in RNAcentral is "bacterial SSU rRNA". It matches the Rfam family "Bacterial small subunit ribosomal RNA", at positions 56 to 785 of the family's 1533-position model. Lineage: Bacteria; Bacillati; Bacillota; Bacilli; Caryophanales; Bacillaceae. The record is from RNAcentral.
UGGCAGUCGAGCGAACUGAUUAGAAGCUUGCUUCUAUGACGUUAGCGGCGGACGGGUGAGUAACACGUGGGCAACCUGCCUGUAAGACUGGGAUAACUUCGGGAAACCGAAGCUAAUACCGGAUAGGAUCUUCUCCUUCAUGGGAGAUGAUUGAAAGAUGGUUUCGGCUAUCACUUACAGAUGGGCCCGCGGUGCAUUAGCUAGUUGGUGAGGUAACGGCUCACCAAGGCAACGAUGCAUAGCCGACCUGAGAGGGUGAUCGGCCACACUGGGACUGAGACACGGCCCAGACUCCUACGGGAGGCAGCAGUAGGGAAUCUUCCGCAAUGGACGAAAGUCUGACGGAGCAACGCCGCGUGAGUGAUGAAGGCUUUCGGGUCGUAAAACUCUGUUGUUAGGGAAGAACAAGUACGAGAGUAACUGCUUGUACCUUGACGGUACCUAACCAGAAAGCCACGGCUAACUACGUGCCAGCAGCCGCGGUAAUACGUAGGUGGCAAGCGUUAUCCGGAAUUAUUGGGCGUAAAGCGCGCGCAGGCGGUUUCUUAAGUCUGAUGUGAAAGCCCACGGCUCAACCGUGGAGGGUCAUUGGAAACUGGGGAACUUGAGUGCAGAAGAGAAAAGCGGAAUUCCACGUGUAGCGGUGAAAUGCGUAGAGAUGUGGAGGAACACCAGUGGCGAAGGCGGCUUUUUGGUCUGUAACUGACGCUGAGGCGCGAAAGCGUGGGGAGCAAACAGGAUUAGAUAC